Molecule: unclassified non-coding RNA, 253 nt
Filed under: uncultured Gammaproteobacteria bacterium
Lineage: Bacteria; Pseudomonadati; Pseudomonadota; Gammaproteobacteria
Description: contains 16S-23S intergenic spacer region
Rfam family: Bacterial small subunit ribosomal RNA
Source: RNAcentral
UACGGAGGGUGCAAGCGUUAAUCGGAAUUACUGGGCGUAAAGCGCACGUAGGCGGCUCUGCAAGUCGGGUGUGAAAUCCCCGGGCUCAACCUGGGAACUGCAUUCGAUACUGCAUUGCUAGAGUAUGGGAGAGGGAAGUGGAAUUUCCGGUGUAGCGGUGAAAUGCGUAGAUAUCGGAAGGAACACCAGUGGCGAAAGCGACUUCCUGGACCAAUACUGACGCUCAGGUGCGAAAGCGUGGGGAGCAAACAGG